UCGUCUGCCGCAGCUGAAGAAAGGGGCAGUGCCUUCACUAAAAAUACCUGUUCGGACGCACGAAACACAAGUAAAACCCCGACCAAGCAGAAGGAAAGUGACAGAGGCCAGCCAUGGUAUGAAACCAGACGAUUUACCGCCAGCUGUGUCUCGGGAGGAGGUUCGCGCCUGCGUGCCCCCAGUCGUUCCAUGUGCAGCCGAAAACUGUGAUCAACCUGUCCAAGCCGGGCUUUCUGUAGUAAGCUCCUGUCCAAGCAGCCAUGUAGGAAAUGAAGAGAUGCCAACAGGUAAGAUUUGUAAAUAUUACCAUAAUUGUUGCGCGAGGCAAAUCACUCCUAUCUACUGUAGCAUUACGUUACCCAUGCUCCGGAGCUGCAUCCUUCCUCUCCGUCACCAGUCCUGCCUUCUUCGCCAAAUUCCGACAAAUGCUGUCUCCACCCUGGCAUCUCUAUCUAUAUCACUUGCGUCUAGACCGAUCCUGCCGCAACUGUCCUUGCCUCUAUGCUAAAAUGGAACGCUGGCUCUUCGUUGUCCU
Dermacentor silvarum is the source of this 535-nucleotide long non-coding RNA. RefSeq lists it as uncharacterized. The record is from RefSeq and is a predicted model, not a curated record. NCBI's taxonomy places the organism in Eukaryota, Metazoa, Arthropoda, Arachnida, Ixodida, Ixodidae. The transcript is spliced from 3 exons.